This 482-nucleotide ribosomal RNA is filed under the name uncultured bacterium. Its description in RNAcentral is "partial 16S ribosomal RNA". It matches the Rfam family "Bacterial small subunit ribosomal RNA", at positions 28 to 507 of the family's 1533-position model. The record is from RNAcentral.
GAUGAACGCUAGCGGCAGGCCUAAUACAUGCCAGUCGGACGGGAUUCAGGAGCUUGCUUCUGAUGAGAGUGGCGCACGGGUGCGUAACACGUAUGUAACCUACCUUUAUCAGGGGGAUAGCCUCUCGAAAGAGAGAUUAAGCCCGCAUAAAAUCACAGCACAGCAUUGUGUAAUGAUCAAAUAUUUAUAGGAUAAAGAUGGGCAUGCGGAACAUUAGCUAGAUGGCGGGGUAACGGCCCACCAUGGCGACGAUGUUUAGGGGAUCUGAGAGGAUGGCCCCCCACACGGGUACGGAGACACGGACCAGACUCCUACGGGAGGAAGCAGUAAGGAAUAUUGGUGAAUGGGCGGAAGCCUGAACCAGCCAUGCCGCGUGCAGGAAGACGGCCCUACGGAUUGUAAACUGCUUUUAUACGGGAAUAAACCCAGAUACGUGUAUCUGGCUGAAUGUACUGUAAGAAUAAGGAUCGGCUAACUCCGUG